GUAAUUCUUGAAUUCUUCUCAUUUUGGGCCUAUGUGGCAAAAAAAAAAAGGGGUAGACAAUAUUUUCUGGAUUCUUGUUAUUGUCAUGAUGCUUGAUCAAAGAUUACCACUAAAUAGUAUAGACAGUUGUGUCACUGUUUGUACAUGUGUCUUUAUACAGAUUCAUUUUCAACAGCUGCUGGUCUGCUGACUGCACCUGAUGUUACUUGCAAGUUCUUACAGUCAUUUCUCAACAGACUUGAUAGCCACAGCAACCAAGUGUCAUUAGCAGUGUUAGCUAAUUCUUCCUCUUUCUCCAGGGCAUUCAUUACAACACACAUUCCCAAACAGAUCCUUGCAACAUUUUAUUGCUUAAUUCUUUUUCUUGGUUUUGAUACAGAAAAAUAAGAGAUUUUCUGCUAGAUUAGGUCAAUCCAAGCAGCAAGCUCUGGGGAACUGUACUGUGGUAGUAGCUUGACCACCCUGACCAUGGCGUUGAUAGAACAGAAUGAGGCUCUGCAUAUCACUUAACUGCAGCACAAAGCCCUGCAAUUUACUUAAGGUGAUGAUGGAGGUAGGUUUACUCUUAUGAUAGACAGAUGAGCCCUGCAAGUCUUGCCAUGGUCACUUAAAGCAUCAUCACACCCAGCAUUACCCUGAGGGUUGCUCUGUCAGAAUUAGGGUGGUCUAACAUAGCCAUCAGAAGAGACCAUGUGCCCAUCCUUCAGCUGCCACAGUUAGUGUUUCACAUUCAGCUCAAAGCCACCUUCAGCAGCAGAGAAAAGGGCAGUAGCUCUCCACUGGAGUAAAGGGCUGUGGGUGUGAGUUGCUUUUUUGCCAGUUCCCUCUCAUCAGGAGUAAUAUGUGCAGGUGGUAACACUUUAAAUCAGCACAGCAUUACUACUGAAGGAUGUUUCUGAAAGCGUUAAAAGACUGGUCUGUGCACUAGAUCACCUCCAGUUUCGGGAUAUUUUCGCUUCUGAUGGCUUUGCUCUGGUGGCAGUGGCCUCUGGAACAAGGACAGAGCAGGCAAGUCAUAAUUUACAGUACAGCAGCAAGGUCCAUCAGAGUGCUCUCUAAAAUGCCUUAAAAUGAAGCAAGCAUAAUGCAGAACGUUGCAGCCAAGAUCUCUGGGAUCUUAGGGCCUGGGCUUGAAGCAUACUAACAUGCAUUUUGGGGGGAUUUUUUUGGUUGCAUUGAAUUUGUCUAAAUUAAUUGAUUCUUUUUUCCUGCAAGGGAGGAGUUUUUGUCUGGAGACUGUAGAAAAUGUGCACACUCUUCUGGAGAUGGUCUUCCUGAAUGUGCAAUUACAAAAAUGCCUUCCUUUACCUAUUGAUUUUAGGAGAAGAAUGCACUUUCUGGUUUCCUUCCUUUUCCUUGAUUGCUGCUUCUCCUUCACCAUCUGCCCAACUGUCACCUUUCUGGAUUGGAAGUGCUACAGGAUCUUCCCUUCAGACCUCAUCUGCUUCAUUUUUAAGUAUUUGCUGAAGUGGUUCAAGCAGUUCUUGGCAAGAGACUACUCCCCGACCGUGUGACUUGGUGGAUUUGUGACACCUGUCUCUUGCUGUUUCAUCAUGUGUUGCAAACUUUGUCAUAUGAGAGUGGAAUUGCUGGUAGGAAGUACGGGCUUCAUUAAUGAGUUCUGUUUCACAGCUAAUCCAUGUUUACUGAUUGACGUGCAUAUGUAUUUUAGUUUCACUUGUCCCAUCUUAUAUCUCUGUUGCUAUUUUGUGUCACACUCCUACCUUUUGCAUUUUAUGUACAGAUCCAGUUGGACUAGGAGUUAGCUGUUGCUGAAAGAGGCAAACUGUCUUUCCCCUGCCCCAGCUGUAUAGCACAUUCUUACCACUUCCCUCUUGUAUCACUCAGUUGUUUAUUAUCAAGUAAUAAGUAACAAACAAACUAAUUGAUUUAAUGUUAUUGGAUCUAAAAUUAAUCUCUGAAUAUUAAUUAUAAGAAUCCAUUAUAAUUCUCAUUAUAAGAACUUUUCUGUGAAGAAAUGUGGAAUUUGAGAAAUUCUCUUCUGUGUUUUGGGCUUUCUAGCAGACAGAAUACAGAUUCACUAACUGGUUUUACACAUCCUGGAGUGGCAGAGCCUGGAAGAUACCCCUGGAGAUCAUCUAGUCCACCUUCCAGCUCAGAGAAGGGUCAGUUUGAGCAGUUGGGUUUUGAGUAUCUCCCAUGGAUGAAGACUUCACAACCCCUCUGGGUUUUUUGUUCCUAAACAUCCCAAGAUAAAAUGAAGGAACUACAAAUGCCACAACACAUAUGAGGACACCUUCUGGAUAAAUGGGUUUGCUACUGUGUGCAUUUCACUGAGAGCUCUAUUGAGAGAACAAAACCCCUGCAAAGAUCUAAGCAAGUGUUUCAUUUUAGAUAGUGAAAGCAAUUCUCCAAAGUUUUGUUGUCCAGAUAAAGACCAAGGAAGUGCAAUAUUUCAGUCAUAAAUAUGUAAGGUUAGUUUCCUGUAAGAAAUUAGUACCUGUGUCUUAGCUUAUCAAAAGCCAGAAUCCUGUUACGGCAUUACUUAUUGGAAGACCAUUCCGUAUCAUAGAAUCAUAGAAUGGUUUGUUUUGGAAAGGACCUUAAGAUCAUCUAGUUCCGACCCCCCACCCUGUGCAGAGACACCACAAUUAAAUUUCAUGAUCUACAUAUGAGACUGCUGUAAUUUGAUCUGAAUUUUCCUUUAAAAUGGUCUGGGAGCUAUAGUGUUAAGAAAUGACAUCUGUCUUGUUGAGUUGAGGGAAGGUAAUGCAACCAAUAGCACUCAACUUUAUCCCGUGCUGUUGUCUGGCAACCUGAUAACUACAGAUAAAAAUUCUUAUUCCUGUAUUUACAUAGGCAUUUGUAGUCUCCUUCCUGAACAAUCUUUGCUUACUGGCUGUGGCUAAUUAUUCCUUGUCCUAGAUCCAGAGGCCACCUCUGAAUGAGGAACUGGAAAGAGUCAAAACAGUUCAGAAAUCCCAUUUAUGUAAUGCUUUUCAAAUCCUUGUUAUGAUAUUCAGAAAAUAAAUAAUUGAUUUAUUUAAUUACUAUGGCUUCUUCUCUUAUCAUAAUGCUUUGGAUUAUUUUUUAUCGCUUGCAGGAUGAUUUGCUGUGAGAAUAGCUGAUUUCUUGGCUAAAUGUAAUUUUAAUUUGUAUGUAGCUAGCUUAGUGGUUUUCACAAUCUGUAUUUUGAUAGCACUGUGACAGUGCAGGUUAUAUUUAUGCCAGUUAACAAAUCAUAUAGUUUUCUGUGACUGAAAACAGACUGAGACAUGCCCAACCUGUUGUACUGCAUUCAUUCAGGUGACCUGCCCUAAAAAUUAUUUGACACAUCAGUAAAGAAGGAAUACUGAAAGCAACUGGAUCCAGUUUUUGUGAAGUCUCUGCCUGCCUAGCCCCUCUGAACGAAAUAUUUUUCUACAAAAAAGAACUAUCAGGUAGGAUAAGAAUUGUGUGGUAUGAACGCAUGAAUCAAAUGUCUGUACAAGGAGAAAGCAGUUGAUGGCUCCCAAUAGUGGAUACACAGGAACAUCAUGGAUGAGAUAAGGUUUCUGCUCAGUAGGAAAUUGUUAGGGUGAGAGCUCAGCCAUCAACACAAGAAAGAGGACUUAUAUGACAGAGAAGGUAGGGUUACUGUUAUCUAGCUGAAAUACUAACAAACUUGAGAGUGUUAUGAAAUAGAAGCUGAGAUGGGAUUGGGCAUCUCAGAAUUGUCAUUAAAAUGCUCUAAACCCAGAAGAUGUUGUGGUUGGAGAUUCUUUGCCCUGUUUCUCUUGCUUUUUGUAGUAAGCUGUCUCAAAGAAGGGUUUCAUUAGAGUUUCAGCAUGCUGCUGGCUUAGGUUGGGCCCUGCAGAGAUUGUAUUAGGAGAUCUUAAGGUGCCUCAACCCCAGACAGGGGCCUUUAUGGGUCCUUUAGAACCAGAGUUAGAGACAAUGCCUCAUAUUCAUCUGGAAGUCCUUAACAGACUUGUUUUCAUAGGCAGGAAUGUGCUUAGAUCGUAAUGUUAACUAUGUCAGAACGUGGUUUUAUUUUUUUUAACAAAAAUUACUAUACCAGGGUAAUCUUAACCGUCAAACUGGGAUGUGUAUACUUUGCAUUGUGCAUUGUUUCCUUUUAUGUACUGUUUGUCAUUAACAGUCUUGGCAUGACUGCUUCACAGGUAGUAAAUAUAUUCUGGCAUUAUUAAAGCAGUUCCACUUCCUUUGCAGGCAAAGCCUCAGAGAUGGUAUCUCUGGAGAGGGACAUUGGAACUGACGAAAAGUUGCCAACUGCUAUUUAACUGUUAACCAGCAUGCCAGGUACCAUCUUUCUGAGUCACCAUCCCUGACCACCUCUGCAUUAAGAUUUACACUGGCCUGCUCUGGUCCAUAGGUCAUUAUUUUGGCAACUGUAAAAAUUGAGUUAUAAAAAAUUACUGUGUUUUUUUUUCUCUUUUUUUAGUUCAUUAUAUAUGUUCAGCUAAAAAUAAAAGGAAUUGGAGAAAGCA
Molecule: long non-coding RNA, 4451 nt
Organism: Pezoporus occidentalis (night parrot)
Lineage: Eukaryota; Metazoa; Chordata; Aves; Psittaciformes; Psittacidae
Exons: 2
Source: RefSeq, a predicted model, not a curated record